CCCUCGCCUUCGAUUUAAAUUCUUCGCUUAGUGGCUCGCCCUCCCUCAGCGACAGACCAUCUUCCCCCUUCCCACCGCUCGCGGAGAUCCCAAGAAUAACCCCCAACACUGAUUAGCGAAUCCUCUUGGCGGACGGCCUGCAUUCCCCAAAUCGUCGCCUCUUAUCGGUUCUCUCAGGGAUUCUUCCAUCGCUGGUGGGGCGAUCGGUCGCUGGAAAUGGCGAACAACCUCGGCGCCGGCCGUUCAUGGGGUGGAAGACAUCAUCAGCAAGAUCCGCGACGAUUUUAUCCACUAGAGCCCUGGAGAGCGUGCUCAACUAGAUCCAGGCGGUAAUCCGUUCUUUCUCUUCGAUUCUGGGACUUCGAAGCUCUUGUGGGCUUAUUACAGUUCCCAGGGAAAGAUCCGAGAUGUGGGAAACAAGGAUGGUGCAGGACGACAUCAUCAGCCACAGCACCAUCGAGAGGUUGUCCAUCCAGAGGAACGCGGCCCUAUCACUGAGAUGCUCUUUCCGAUGGUGAGCUCGCUGUCCCGUUUCUCUAUUCCACUUGAUUCCGCACACUCACUUUACCUCUGUAACACACAAAAUUCCACAGCUUCAAUGGAUCUAUUUUUUACUAGCAGGUCGACAGCAAAAGGGCAUCUGAUGCCCGAUGCGGCAGCAUCACAAUAUCACAGGCAACGAGAAGGAUUAAGAGGAAAAAGUAAUAUCAAACAAAUUCGCCUACAACAUCGUCUAAACCUUCAGGGAGGUGGUUGCGUCUUCUAACAAACCAGCU
Molecule: long non-coding RNA, 776 nt
Filed under: Musa acuminata (dwarf banana)
Lineage: Eukaryota; Viridiplantae; Streptophyta; Magnoliopsida; Zingiberales; Musaceae
Description: long non-coding RNA (MACU_LNC004737)
Source: RNAcentral